This is a non-coding RNA of Xyrichtys novacula (pearly razorfish), 6757 nucleotides long. The record is from the annotation of a GenBank genome assembly. NCBI's taxonomy places the organism in Eukaryota, Metazoa, Chordata, Actinopteri, Labriformes, Labridae.
AGAUUGAUAUUUCACCCAUUCUUGAGAGUCGGGACAAAACAUGUCCUACAUAGAAAAGUCUAAUUUAUUCAAAACAAUUAAGAAAUUCUAAAUGUUUGACAUACUCAAAAAGUUAAAUCUAAUGGAUUUGUGUAUACCAAUCCUAUUUUUUAGCACAGAUAUUUACUUUUUUGGGGGAUAUUUGUUUAAAUGAAACGUCUGUGGUUAGAAGGUCCAUGUUAUUGCUUGUGUCCUCAGCAAGAGGUCACAAUAUUGACCAGCCCCAAAAAACUUUAAAAAACUCUAUAAUUGUGAAAACAUAUACAUCAAAUAAAAAUUCAGGGCUAUAAAUAUAUAAACAAUGAAUGGCCUGAACAUCAAAUAGCUUUUUGCCUAAAAAUCUGCCUAUCAAAGUUGUGUCCUCAGUUUCUGUCAACUCCAUCAGAUUAUUCUAUAAACCUCAUUAAAUCAUGCAAUAUCAUGGUCAGCUAUAUCCCUGAGGACCCCUUUUCAUUUCCUGCUUCUGGUGAAUGCAACACCACCACACAUGGUCUGGUAAGUUUUACAGUUUUUGAUAUUUUAGACAAACAAUGUCAAUAUUUGUAUGGUCACAGCUGGACCAUGUCAACACCGUCUCUCCAUUAUUAUACUUUUUUUUAAACCAUAGUGAGUUCAAUUAAAGUAUUUUAGUGAGAUUAUCAGGACAGCUAGCAACUGCCAAAAAAGUACCUAGCUGCACUGUACAAUAAAUGUUUUGGAGGGAAAAUACAUGCCCUUAUGUCAACUCCGUCAGACGUCAACUCCGUCAGAUUUUGUGUCUGAUGGAGUUGACAUGUAAGCUGAUGGAGUUGACAAAUCCACCUAUAACCUCUUAAUGUGCUGACAUUAUGCUAUUUUUGAACAUGGUUAAGGAUAACAAUGUUAUUCCAGGGUCUUAUCUGCACAUAAAAGUACAUAUAUAGCAUAUAUUACGUUAUUUUACCAUAUACUUCUGUUUUGUAGAGUAGACCAUGGGCAGGCUGUCUGCUUAAUUAUAACUGUCAAACUUUCCCAACACACACACACACACACACACACACACACACACACACACACACCUAAUCUCAUUGAUUGAUUGAUUGAUUAAUGUACAAUCCUAAAGGUGCAGUAUGUAAUUUUCACUACCUAAAAUCUACACACUGGCUUCUUAUAGAGUGCGCAAGAAGUUCUAUGUUGCUCUUUUAAACCCCAGUGUAGGUGGGAUACCAGAUAGAAGAAAAAGGUUAUUAUUUUUACAUUGUUAACUUGGACCCUCAGACCUUGGGCUCUAUUUUUGUGUCCACCGGCGACAUGGCGGAGGGUGGCGAACCCCGCGCAGUGGCAUUUUCGUCUGGCGGAGCUCAGCGUACAGCCAGUUUGGUAUUUUCGUGGACUGAGGUGCACCGAGGUCCGCCAAGCUGGGCGUGGAUGUGUGGCAGGGUGAGGUGUCCACAGAAUCAGCUGGUGCAGUGACAUUUUCGUACUUGUUGCUGGCGUGUAAAGUGCGCUGAAAGCUCGCAGAUUCAAACCUGGUCAGCUUUCAGCGCAGGUGGAUCCGGAUGGGCUAGUGGUAUUUUGGGAGACCGGCGGCAUAUCGGCCUCACCAGCAGGUUUCCACAGUGUCAGGAACAUUUCAGUGCUGAAUGGCUAACCUGCUCCGGGGCAGGUUAGGUUCCAGAUUGAACUCACCAAGUAUAAAAAACCCCACCCACUGACCGAUGAGCUCUCUCGGAAAAUGGCUUGUUCGUUCUUGGAGGCGCGCGAGAGUUUAAUUUUUUUUUCUUAAUGUGUCCCUUCGUCGUAAUUUCGCUGGUGCAACAGAUAGACAAGAUUAUACAAAAGAAAUAAGCCCUUAUUAUUUUUAUGUGCCUUUUUGGGAUAUAUCUGAGCAAUUUCACAUAAUAAUCUGAAAUUCACCAUUUAUUGUAAUUGUAUUACAUAAGCUAUUUGAUGUAUAAAUAGGCAGUGAUGGUAGUACAGGGUCCCCCGCUGGGCCCCUGCAGCGUUACCGCAUGUGUAUCAAGGUCUCCCGUUUUGUCUUUACAUGGUAAGAGAACCUGUAAUGAGCGCCGCUCAAAACACGUUGAAAUAUGUAGGCUACUUUUUAAUGUUAAAAUGCAUUUUACUUAGGCCUACAGGAAAUGUUCAAGAGAUUGAUAUAACACGUCUGUGCUACUGUUGCUGUUAAAUGACAUGAACUGUUAAUUAGAGAUCAUAUCGUUGUUUAAAUUUGCCAGAAAAAAAAAUGCUUGCGAUGUUGACAUGUAGUUACUGUAAGACUGGUUUGUGCUCAAGUCCUAUUUUUUAUUUUUUUAUACAGCUCCGUUUUUAACUCAGAAUUACCGAGAGCUUUUCAGCUUCAAAUUUGUAUACUGGCGAAAAGGCGGAACCAAGUUGUCUAUAGUAUAUACGUUGGUACCAACGGUGAUUGUUUAUGACUGGUCUACCACAAAAUAGCCCUUAUUUAUCAAGCUUGCGUAAGGCAGAAAACUUAUGUACACCUUGCGACGUAAGGAUUGGCAGUUAUCAAUCUGCACAUGAGUGUACGCUACGACCAAAUCUCACGACAGGUCUGACAUCGUGUAGGCAAGUUUGAGUCAGUCUGGAUUUGCGGUGAAAACAAUAAGCAAAAGCAUAAACAGCCAGAUAUUCAGUAGUCAUACUGAUCAUUUUUGUCAUUAUCAUAUUCACCCAUUUUUUACGUAUCAUGAAAAAAAAUUCCACUGGUCUGGUUUUCACAGCAGUCAUAGCUCCAGCACACUGACCAACUUGCAAAAAAAAAAAAAAAAUUCUUUAAUUGGGCGAUGUUUCAGUGUCAAACCUAUAUCAAACAAAGGGGCUCUUUUUUUUCCACUUCUUCGUUCCUGGAUUCUGACACUUGCCGUGUCAUCCUUUGACGCACCAGGCAAAAUAAAUUCCCCUCCUUUUUAUGAAUGGCAGCAAUAGUAAAAGCCAAAUUUUCAUUCGGAGAGAAGCUGGUAAACGGAAAAAAGACAAAAUUUCUGCAUACAAGAUUGCAUAAAAGCAUAAAAUACUCUAAACAAACGGGUCCAAGUCCGGGCGUUUUGAUUAAUGUGACGCAUCGAUUUGUGUCAAGAAUUGUGAUUGGUCAGAUGUUAAUUCUCUCCCCUAUUUAAACAAGAGCUUUGACAGUUGUCAGAUCUCGAUAAUGGCAGCUUCUACUAGAAGAGUAUGCACAGGUGAGAUGGGAGCAGGGAUCUCCUCAUGGAGAGCAAUGAGUGGCUCAUCAUUCACUUUCAGCUUCCAAGGCAUGUCCUGAUAGAUUUAUGCGACAAUUUAGAAGCCUGUUUAAGGUGGGACGCUAGGUGGUCAAACACCUUGCCAGUGCCGGUGCAGGUGAUCGUCACCAUAGGGUUUUUGGCUACUGGGACCUUGCAGAGGGAGAUUUGAGACAGAGCUGGGGUCGACAAUAGCCACGUUUACAUGCAGACUUUUUUCUCAUUCGGAUUAUAAUCAUUCCGAUUGAAGCUCCCAGGCGAACUGUUUACAUGGAAGCGAUCUAUUCUGAUCUGGUGUUUACAUGUGCCACGGCAUUCAAUCGGAACAGCUAUUUACAGACACGUGAUACCUUCAAACAUCACGUGAUUGAUUGAUCACGUGAUCUCCGACGCAGACCAGUGCAUCGUGCUCUGCUUGGAAGCCGCCAUCAUGUUUCCAUGUGAGUCAUACGUCACUGCUUGUUUACAUCAGGACAGAGCAUGCGCAGACAGAACCCAGCCUGACAACUUUCCGAUUCACCGUUUACAUGACAGGAUUUUGCUUUUAAUCGGAAUGGGAAAAGGAAAAUUCUACCCCUGUGAAUCGGAAUGAAAUUCCACUCGGAAUGGGCCUGUUUAUUCCGAAUGAGGUGUUUAUAUGGAGCAUUUUCAUUCCGAUUGGGCUUCUAAUCCGAUUAUAUUCGGAAUAUUUGGCUCCAUGUAAACGUAGCUAAUGAGCAGGAUGAUGCCAGAUGUGUUGGCGGCCAUCAAGUCCACUCUAGGAACUACAUCCAGUUCCCCUGAAUGAUGCCCAGCAAUCUGUGAUUAAAAGGCAAUUUUAUGAGAUUGCUGGGUUUCCAAAUGUAAUUGGAGCGAUGGAUUGUAGCCAUGUGCGUCUGAAGCCACCAUGCAUGAAUGAUUACACAUUUAUCAAUCGCAAAAAUUACCAUUCGAUCAAUUUGCAAGUCAUUUGUGAUGCCAAGCUGGCAUUACUAAAUGUGGUAGCCAAGUGGCUGGGAGGGAUGCACGAUUCUUUUAUACUUCAAAAUAGAAGUGUCUGUGCACGGCUACAGUCAGAGUCAUCUCCUCGGUAAGUGGCCUGAAUAAAUCUGCAAUAGGAUUGAAGCAAAGUCUGAUGUUGUCUGACGUUUCCAUGUAGUUAUUUUUCUAGGUGACAAAGGUUAUGCCCUGACGGAGUACCUGGUAACCCCACUGGCAAACCUGACCACAGAGAGGGAGUGGCAAUUCAUUGCGCACACACGCACAGGUGUCACUGUGGAGCGCUGAUUUGAUCUCCUGAAGGGCAGGUGGUUCUGUCUUGCUCCAGCAGGGGGAAAAUUGCUGUACACACCCGAAAAGGUGUGUGACAUCAAUUUGGCUUGUGCGGUUUUGCUCAACGUGGCGUUGGUAAAUGGCGUGCCAUUGGAUGUGCCGGUGCAAAGAGAGGACGCGAUGCCUAUUGAACCGUGGCAAGGCGACGCUCCACCAGGUGCUGUACUGAUGAGACGGCACCUGACCAACCGCUUCUAAAAUGUUGGUAGGCCUUUAAGUUGAGGAAGUUCUGACUAUUUAACUGAUUUAAUGGCUAAAAUCAGACGAAUUGAAUUAAACUACACUACGGGCCAAAAGUUUGGAAGCAAGGCCAUUACAGGCCGAACAGUUGGAAGUAACUUCAAGUUUUUGAUCACAAUGCUUUUUUUUUAAAUCCAGCAUGAGUUUUAUGUAUUUUGGGAUGUAUUUACUCCAUGAACAGAUGUUGCUUUCAUGGAAAUGCACCAUUUUACUCCAUUUACCUUUAAAUAUACAUUGAUGUCAACAGACCAUGGCUAAAUUUAUGUCAGCAAAAGAUAAUAAGGGCUUAGUUUUAGGGUUGAAAACAUUGGCAAGAGUCACAACUUCAGUGCAAAAGCAAAAAAAACCCAAAUCACAGUUGGAUUAUUCACUUCUCCUUUUUGGCUUUUUUAGAGGCUGCAUACAAAAAUCCUAAUAAAUCUCAACUGCGUUCAAACUAGUGCAGAAAUGGCUAGAAAGAAGCCAUUGAAUAAAGAAACAAAAGUACAGAUUCGUACAUUGAGGACAGAAGGAUACACAGAAAGAGAAAUUGCAAAACGCCUAAAGGUGUUUAACAAAGGAGUCCACUACACUCCGAAGAGACUAGAGGAACCUGGAAGUUAUGAUGAUAGACAAAGGCCUAGAUGAAAGAGAGUUACUACAAAAGCAGAGGAUAAACAUAGCAUUGUCACCAGUAAGAGAGAUCGGUGAAAGACAGCGCCACAAAUAAGGGAGGAAAUCAACAUGACCAGGUUGAAACCCAUAUCUCUGACAACCGUGAAAUGUCGUUUGAGAAAGGCUGGUCUGAAGGGUUGUGUAUCUGCAAAAAACACUACUUCGUCCACAGAACAAGAAAAACAGAUAUGAGUGGGCAAAAGCUCACAAAAAAUGGACUUAUGAUGACUAGAAACACGUUUGCACUUUUUGGUUCAAAACGAAGAGUCUAUGUCCGCAGACAAACUAGUGAACUUCUGAAUGCACCAUGUGUUACACCCCCAAUUCAGCAUGGAGGUGGUAGUUCCAUGGUAUGGGGAUGUUUUGCAGGUGAUGGAGUAGGAGAUUUGUUUGAAUUAAAGGGUAUCAUGAAGAAGGAACAAUACCACUCCAUCCUCCAGCACCAUGCUGUUCCAUCUGGACUCAGACUUGUGGCCCAUAAGUUUGUUUUGCAGCAAGACAAUGACCCUAAGCACUCUGCCAAGUUCUGUCAGGGUUACAUAGACAAAAAAAAGAGGAAGGUGUUCUUCAAAAGAUGGUUUGGCCCCCUCAAUCUCCAGACCUUUCUCAAUUGAGCUUGCGCGGGAUGAAUUGGAUUGAUCGGUCAGAAAAACGCAUCCCACGAAUCAGCAGUCACUUUUUAAUAAAUUUAAGAAAGCUUGAAAUGCAAUCCCUGGAACAUACCUUAGAAAACUUGUGGAACGAAUGCCUGGUACAUGCCAAGCUGUUGUUAAAGCCAGAGGAGGUUACUUUAAAGAAAGCAAAGUCUAAGCAACAAUAACUCAGAUACCUAAUAAUUAUGGUCAAAAUGUCUUCUGAUUAAUUACUCUUUACACAAUAGUCAUGUUUAUUGUGUUGCAAAUUAUAUAUGUGUGAAACUGUGAUCUUUUUUUGUACGAAUCUGCUCUUGCUUCCAAACUUUUGGCCUGUAGUGUAAAUGCUUGAAAUAAAAAAAAUAAAGAUUAUUAUAUUCAAGAAAUUUUAUUUAUUCAAAUUGUCAUUUAUUCUCUGUCAAGUUUCGUUGAUUGCCUCAAGUGAGGUCACAACUGCCGCCAAUAAACGGCAAAUCUCCGUUUGUCUUUCUAGGACCUCCGCAGUGAUAAUGGCCCUUGCAGUACGGGAAGCUGGUACUCGCUCGCCCUCAGUGCUCAGCUGUCUCCGUUCGGGGUCUGGAUCAGUGGGACCGUCCUCAUUGCGCACAGACGUCGCCACCGUGCUGCUGGAGCCUGGCUCUGAAAUCAUAAUUGAGGACAAUAAAAAAUGUGCAAAUGUAAAAA